UGGGGAAUAUUGCACAAUGGGCGCAAGCCUGAUGCAGCCAUGCCGCGUGUAUGAAGAAGGCCUUCGGGUUGUAAAGUACUUUCAGCGGGGAGGAAGGCGAUAAGGUUAAUAACCUUGUCGAUUGACGUUACCCGCAGAAGAAGCACCGGCUAACUCCGUGCCAGCAGCCGCGGUAAUACGGAGGGUGCAAGCGUUAAUCGGAAUUACUGGGCGUAAAGCGCACGCAGGCGGUCUGGCAAGUCGGAUGUGAAAUCCCCGGGCUCAACCUGGGAACUGCAUUCGAAACUGGCAGGCUAGAGUCUUGUAGAGGGGGGUAGAAUUCCAAGUGUAGCGGUGAAAUGCGUAGAGAUCUGGAGGAAUACCGGUGGCGAAGGCGGCCCCCUGGACAAAGACUGACGCUCAGGUGCGAAAGCGUGGGGAGCAAACA
This 427-nucleotide ribosomal RNA is filed under the name uncultured bacterium. RNAcentral's name for it is "partial 16S ribosomal RNA". It matches the Rfam family "Bacterial small subunit ribosomal RNA", at positions 355 to 774 of the family's 1533-position model. The record is from RNAcentral.